AUGCUAAAUGGGUUGAAUUCAUUGAAACUUUCCCUUAUGUCAUUAAACACAAGAAGGGUAAAGAAAAUGUUAUUGCUGAUGCAUUGUCUCGUCGCUAUACUAUGCUUUCACAACUUGACUUCAAAAUAUUUGGUUUGGAGACCAUCAAAGAUCAAUAUGUGCAUGAUGCUGAUUUUAAAGAUGUAUUGCAGAAUUGUAAAGAAGGAAGAACCUGGAACAAGUUUGUCGUUAAUGAUGGAUUUGUGUUCCGUGCUAACAAGCUAUGCAUUCCAGCUAGCUCUCUUCGUCUUUUGUUGUUGCAGGAGGCGCAUGGAGGAGGAUUAA
This 324-nucleotide ribosomal RNA is filed under the name Triticum aestivum (bread wheat). Its description in RNAcentral is "partial small subunit ribosomal RNA". The record is from RNAcentral. Lineage: Eukaryota; Viridiplantae; Streptophyta; Magnoliopsida; Poales; Poaceae.